This 6781-nucleotide long non-coding RNA is filed under the name Salmo salar (Atlantic salmon). Its description in RNAcentral is "lncRNA (ENSSSAG00000088813.1)". The record is from RNAcentral. Lineage: Eukaryota; Metazoa; Chordata; Actinopteri; Salmoniformes; Salmonidae.
UUGGUUAGUAAUGUGUGACUGAGCUUCCUGAUGCUGUAUGUAUGGGGGAAGUUGGUUAGUAAUGUGUGACUGAGCUUCCUGAUGCUGUAUGUAUGGGGGAAGUUGGUUAGUAAUGUGUGACUGAGCUUCCUGAUGCUGUAUGUAUGGGGGAAGUUGGUUAGUAAUGUGUGACUGAGCUUCCUGAUGGAUGCUGUAUGUAUGGGGGAAGUUGGUUAGUAAUGUGCUUCACAACAUGCAAGAGAGAGCAGGAACAAAUUUAUGCUGGAAUUUCAGGAAUGAGCUGACUUAACUAGCGAGCUUGAUGGUCACUGUUUGACCUAUUUGGAAUCCCCAUAUAAUCAUGGCUUCUUUUUACAGUGUCAUCGUUCACGGUUGUUCACCUUUGAUAGGCCUCAGGCUACAAACCAGCUGACAGAUUGACUGGAGCCACAUUUGUUGCAUGCUUGAUACAGAGCAUAUUUAUGAUUAGCUUGAGUUGAUCAUACCACCCAGCCAUCUCUGAUCUUCUGUCACAUAUCACGUUACAUCUCAAAACAACAUCUUUGGAACAAGUGCAAAAACGAAACAUGCUAAUCUUCUUCACUAAUUAGACAGGAGAUUUUGCUCAUACUACUUGACUAUAGGCCUACACAACAUCUAAGAUGAACCAGUCAGGGAUGACAUGAUUACCAGUCACUUUGAAUAUGAAAGUGUGCCGCUGAGAGUGAAAUGAUACUAAUCUAACGCACAGCAGAGAUGUACAAACUCUGACCACGUCCUCUUCCGAUGCCGUACAGUACAAACCCACCUGCACCAGAUAGACACGGGCCAUUCACACAGACACCGUGAAGUCAGGCGUCGCAUAGUGUGAAAGCUGCAAGGCUGGAGUAAAGCUAUAGUUCACUUCACGCUCUUGAGUAAAAACAGUAAUGGCCAAUUCUCAUUCAUUUGUUUCAGUUGGAGUGGUAGUGUUUGUACAGUGAUUGAGUCAGUGCGGAGUGGACAGAUGCAUUAACAUGGGAAUUACGUGAAUCGGUGGGUGUGAAUGAAGUGAAGGGUGCAGUCGUCCCGACCCGUUAAAGAAGCCGAGCCAUGAUGGAUAGUGUAGAUAGAAUGGUGGUGUGGCAGAUGUACAGUUGAAGUCGGAAGUUUACAUACACUUAGGUUGGAGUCAUUAAAACUCGUUUUUCAACCACUCCACAAACUUCUUGUUAACAAACUAUAGUUUUGGCAAGUCGGUUAGGACAUCUACUUUGUGCAUGACACAAGUAAUUUUUCCAACAAUUGUUUACAGACAGAUUAUUUCACUUAUAAUUCACUGUAUCACAAUUCCAGUGGGUCAGAAGUUUACAUUCCCUAAGUUGACUGUGCCUUUAAACAGCUUGGAAAAUUCCAGAAAAUGAUGUAAUGGCUUUAGAAGCUUCUGAUAGGCUUAUUGACAUAAUUUGAGUCAAUUGACAUAAUUUGAGUCAAUUGGAGGUGUACCUGUGGAUGUAUUUCAAAGCCUACCUUCAAACUCAGUGCCUCUUUGCUUGACAUCAUGGGAAAAUCAAAAGACCUCAGGGGGGGAAAAAAGUAGACCUCCACAAGUCUGGUUCAUCCUUGGGAGAAAUUGCCAAAUGCCUGAAGGUACCACGUUCAUCUGUACAAACAAUAGUACGCAAGUAUCAACACCAUGGGAUUACGCAGCCGUCAUACCGCUCAGGAAGGAGACGUGUUCUGUCUCCUAGAGAUGAACGUACUUUGGUGCGAAAAGUGCAAAUCAAUCCCAGAACAACAGCAAAGGACCUUGUGAAGAUCAACAUAACCUGAAAGGCCGCUCAGCAAGGAAGAAGCCACUGCUCCAAAACCGCCAUAAAAAUGCCAGACUACGGUUUGCAACUGGACAUGGGGACAAAGAUCGUGCUUUUUGGAGAAAUAUCCUCUGGUCUGAUGAAACAAAAAUGGAACUGUUUGGCCAAAAUGGUCAUUGUUAUGUUUGGAAGAAAAAAGGGGAAGCUUGCAAGCCGAAGAACACCACCUCAACCGUGAAGCACAGGGGUGGCAGCAUCAUGUUGUGGGGGUGCUUUGCUGCAGGAGGGACUGGUGCACUUCACAAAAUAGAUGGCAUCAUGAGGAUCGAAAAUUAUGUGGAUAUAUUGAAGCAACAUCAAGACAUCAGUCAGGAAGUUAAAGCUUGGUCGUAAAUGGGUCUUCCAAAUGGACAAUGACCCCAAGCAUACUUCCAAAGUUGUGGCAAAAUGGCUUAAGGACAACAAAGUCAAGGUAUUGGAGUGGCCAUCACAAAGCCCUGACCUAAAUCCUAUAGAAAAUGUGUGGGAAGAACUGAAAAGCUGAAAUAAAUAUUUCUCUACUAUUAUUCUGACAUUUCACAUUCUUAAAAUUAAGUGGUGAUCCUAACUGACCUAAGACAGGGAAUUUUUACUAGGAUUAAAUGUCAGGAAUUGUGAAAAACUGAGUUUAAAUGUAUUUGGCUAAGGUGUAUGUAAACUUCCAACUUCAACUGUAUAUAGGUCUGGAAUCAAGUUCACACAUUGUAGUGCCAGCAUGUGUUUUUAAAGAGAAACAAAUGUAACAAUGCAAUGGUCGCUGCACCUUUGAUGAUUUCCAUAAAACAGUUUCUCAUCCAGUGAUCUGUGAGCUACAGGCUUACUUGUGGGGGGUGCUAGCAUAACCAGAGGUGACUCCCCUGACAGAUUUAAUAUUGGCUCACAAUAUAUAGAUUUUUUUUAUUAAAUAAAUUAACUUGAUUAGUUGGUUGUAUUGUCUCCUGUUAUUUAGAAAUGUUGAAUAUGUAGGAGGUUCCUGGGAUCGAACCUGAUUGGUUAUAUCACCAUUACAUGGUAAAUAACAAGUGCAUAGCCUACAGUUGAAGCCCGCAAUUUGGCAAAUAUGAAAUAGCUGAUGUCAAGUUGCGACUGUCAGUGAGAAGCAUCUAAAAUAGCCCUAGGCCUAUCGCAAUACUUCAAAAUUAAAUUGUGGAAUAAACACAAAAGUCACAUAUAGUCCAAACGAUUUAAAUGUUGUUUAUUCCAUUAGUAGGAUACACCAGGACUAAUCUCUUGGCAGUAGCGGAGAGCGUCGGCCAUAUCUCUGGUGAGUGCGCAUAUUCACUGUCUUUAUCAUUGGGCGAGUCAGUGCCACUGGAAAGUUUAGGACAAUAAUUUCCUCCUCAAUUGUUGAUGGACGUCAUAUUGUACAUUUUGUCUCCCCUUUUCAUAGGCCUAGAUUACAUGGUUACAUUGAAGACAAGGUUGAUUUUAUUGAUCUCAGUUUGCCAGUGUCAGCAGAGUAGCCUAGGCCUAACCUGCAAUUUUUGUAGUAUAUUUACAUGUUUAUUUAUUCAUUUAGUAGACGCUCUUAUCCAGAGCGAUUUACAGUAGUGAAUGCAUACAUUUCAUGCAUUUUUUUUGUACUGGUCCCCCGUGGGAAUCGAACCCACAACCCUGGCGUUGCAAACACCAUGCUCUACCAACUGAGCUACACGGGACUAGUAGGCUAUUAAAGAUUCUGAUAAUGUCCCCAGACAUGUAAAGUGUUGUAGAAUUGCAUGAAAUAUGAUUAUCAGCUAGGGCUGAGCUACUUCCCCAAACAUGAAACUCAAGCGCCACCUAUGAUGCUGUGUAUUUCAUUGUUUGUUUACGGUCGGUCGGAUCAGAUAGUUGGUCUGUUUUGUCAGCGGCCCAGUCACCUUUACUCAUUCCCAGACAUCUGCCUUCAUCACUGAUCAUUACUAAAGUGAAAGCGAGAUUAAACGUUUAAUUAUCGCUUGAAAUAUGCCUAAAGCGUUAUUGUAAACUGCAAACAUAUCCGAAACGACAGGAUUUAUUAUAACGUCUUGGGAUUCGACAAAGCCUCCACCUUCGAAAAUGACAGUCCAUUGAAACGUCUCUCUAGCUCCGCGGCCUUCAUAACUAACCAAGCACUGCGUCCUCGCAAAGUAAGCUAAACUAAUUAUUCACUUGCAUUUUCACGGGUCUAACUAAAUCUAUGUAUUGUGCAAAUGACAACUUCAUCUGAACGGUGAAUUACGAGUGAAUUGGGCCGAUUUAAGAAGCUUCGAAAACUUGGCCAGAGACUUUUUACGAACGGGUGAGGGGGGAUCCCAACAUGGACUCCGCAACAUGCCACGGCGGGUCCGUGCACAGGUACUUUGCACAACUUAUUGAAGCACGAUACAAACAAAGCACGAAUUAAUCAGAUUCCGAUUAUGACAGGUUCAUACAUAAAACAGCAGCAUUUGACGUUUGAGAAAAUGGACCCUAAAGGUGGCCACAUAUUUAAAAGCUAUGUUGGCCAAACAGCGGAGAAAUACAAACUUGUACGGGAUGCAUAGGAUGACAAACAAGCAACACAUUGUAAAUGACCAAAUGUAACGAAACUCUUAAAACAACCCCGGUAGAUAGGUGUAAUCUUCCAAAGUGUCUGGUUCAUAUGAUUAAUUACAACUCAACCAAUCGUUUAAUUUCCUAUUCGAGUAUUAGAAGUGGAUGUCCGCUAGCAAAAGCUUCCAUUUUGAAUGUCUCACUAAAGCAACUCAACUUCAGCUACAUCAACAGGUCGACAAUCAAUCCACAUUGACAUAUUCCCAGCAAACUAGACACAGUAAGUAUAAACAACACUUUUGUAUCAACUUCUCAAACAUAACUGGAGAACGUGUUGAAUACUGUAUAGCUGCAAUGCAAUGAACUCACGUCAGCUAGCUAACUGUCAAAUGACGGCUAAUGUUAGCAAUAGAACUAGCUAGUUAAAUGUAUUUAACAACUUGUAUGACUUUUGUUCACCGCUUAGUAAUUGACAACAGACCGAACAACUGGCGAAGACAACCAGCAAGUUCAUGAUCAAGUUCACCCAGACAAAAGUGGUCGACUUUUUGUUUUGCACAAACUUACCCGAAUCUCCAGGGGUUUUCAUUUUGAGUGUUGCAAGCUAGUUAACGUUAGCUAGCGAGCUUGGUGGAUCUCAAGUCAGUAGCGUUUGUGGAAGGAAAAGUCGUCUCCCUCUGAGCCCUUCCUUUGGUUCGGAUUGGAAAAACGAGGGGGGGACAGGCUAACGUUAAACUUUCCACCGUUGCUCCACUCGCGGGCCCCUUUGCUUCCACUUUAUUUCCCAAUAGCCCCUUCCUCAACUGUAGCGAUCGUGGUAACGUUACUUUCCCGAAUCGCAGUCAGUUGAUGUAGCUCACUGCUUUUUGUCCCACGGCAACUUCGCCUUGUCCUGUUCGAGUUGCAGCGGAACACCGUCAACCGUCCCGACAAGCACACGAACCGAAAACCCUUCUUUCCUUGUUUGCAUAUACUUUCACGAACUGUCGAGUUGUUUACUCCAUCUCAAUCGCAUCUUCCCCGUUGUUUGACAUAUUUUCGCUAAAAUAACCGUUCUGUAGAAUAGCAGUCGUCCUCUCUUUAGACUUUCUUUCUUCCUCCACUCACUAACAUUCUGUACUCUGUGGCUACUCUUUCUCCUCCCCCCGGUUCUUCUCUCUCGGGUGUCGUGUUUCGCUCUCUCCUCACCGGGCCGCCCACACGGAGAGGGAGAGGGGGGCUCUAAGGGGCGGGUCACACCCACUCACCACGAGCCAGGGUGGCGUCACUGCUGCAGCACGCGGCGUCGCCAUGGAGACCGCCACAGCCACACUGCCGUGGUGACAUCAUAUCCGUGUCCUACGAUUCUAGAGGAGAGAAGGCCGUCACCACGUCCUUUUACGUCAAUAGCAGUGAUGGGAUAGUCCCUGGCCACCUGCGGUCUCAGGAGAAAGUAUUGCAUAUAUACAAUCUUGUGUCCUGUCACUCAGGCACUAGUCUGUGGCACUGAUGCAGAACUGUCACAUUGUCAACAAGUGCAUGUGAGAGAGGUGGCAUCAUACAUGGCAGGUGAAGUGUGUCUCAUGAGCCCUAUGUACAACCCCAGCUGCUCAUAAGAACAGCACAGUAAAGGGUCAUCUACUGUGUGUGUGUGACAUAGACCAAUGCGCAGGGACAUCAACAGGAUAACACUGCUGUGUAAAACACAUUUAACAAGCCUUCUUCCCAUGGUGUGAUUUACAAACAGGAUCCCUCUGUCCUCCACUAGCUAUUCUUCAGGAGGGCAGGAAGUCACUCUGUUUUCCCAGAUAGAACCUCUCUCCCAGAUGCUUAUCUGGGAUGCAGCAUUCCCAAAUCCAGGAAACGGCGAGCACCAUCCCGUCCUGUCUCUUCCUGAGCAGAAGGGCCAGGCUAAUGUUUUCCCACGCCCGGACUCCCUGUCAACCACAUCUAGGGGAACAUUAGCCACAGCAUUGUUUUCUCGCCCCCCCCUCCCCCCUUCUGUCUCUCUCUCGCUCUCCCUCUCUGUCCUCACUCACUUUCUCUGCCUAUGUCUCUCUAGUCUUAUCUCUUUCAGUUUCAUUCUGUUGUCCUCUCUUUGUCCAUCCACCUCUCCUCCUAUCUCCAUAUCGCUCUUUCAUUUGAAGAGCACUUCAGCAUCCCCCAAGCUCUUCACAGAGGAAGUAUGGUUGGAGAGAGAAGCGAGAGAUGAAGAAUAAAGAAAAAGAGUGAGUCAGGGAUGAGACAUGAAAUUAAACCAUUAAAACGGUGGAGAACAAAUGGCCUUUCUGUCCAUCUAUCAAUUGCUCACGUGUGUGUGUGCAUUCAUGUGUACGAGUGUCCACCCCCUUCUAAAAGGUGCUCUAUGGUAACCCAAGUAGAGGAGAUUACAUUUUCAUAGAAAUCUACAGCACAGUACAUUCUGAACACUGAAAAGCACACACAGUGCCUCCCUCCACUCCUCCCCUUUAUGAAUGAUAAACAGAAGAGAGGGAGGA